GGGGGAUUAGCUCAGCUGGGAGAGCGCUUGCAUGGCAUGCAAGAGGUCAGCGGUUCGAGCCCGCUAUCCUCCAC
RNAcentral lists this transfer RNA (74 nucleotides) under Caulifigura coniformis. Its description in RNAcentral is "Planctomycetes bacterium Pan44 tRNA-Ala". It matches the Rfam family "tRNA". From Rfam's summary of the family: Transfer RNA (tRNA) molecules are approximately 80 nucleotides in length. Their secondary structure includes four short double-helical elements and three loops (D, anti-codon, and T loops). Further hydrogen bonds mediate the characteristic L-shaped molecular structure. tRNAs have two regions of fundamental functional importance: the anti-codon, which is responsible for specific mRNA codon recognition, and the 3' end, to which the tRNAs corresponding amino acid is attached (by aminoacyl-tRNA synthetases). tRNAs cope with the degeneracy of the genetic code in two manners: having more than one tRNA (with a specific anti-codon) for a particular amino acid; and 'wobble' base-pairing, i.e. permitting non-standard base-pairing at the 3rd anti-codon position. The record is from RNAcentral. Lineage: Bacteria; Pseudomonadati; Planctomycetota; Planctomycetia; Planctomycetales; Planctomycetaceae.